Long non-coding RNA from Mytilus californianus (California mussel), 96 nucleotides. RefSeq lists it as uncharacterized. The record is from RefSeq and is a predicted model, not a curated record. NCBI's taxonomy places the organism in Eukaryota, Metazoa, Mollusca, Bivalvia, Mytilida, Mytilidae. The transcript is spliced from 2 exons.
UACCAGAUGCCAACUAAACGGUGCAGAGCUAAGACAACGGAUAAUAUGUCUUCACCAAUUGCAAUAAACCCAUGUCUGAAAAAUACAUGACGGGUA